UUAAGAGGCUGCAUUUUUAUCACAAAGUCAAGCACCGCUGGGAAGGACUGUUCGUUUGGCAAUGAGGAACUGAAGGUUAAGUGCUUGGAACAAAUGCAUGGCUUCUUUCCAAGGCAGGCUGGGGAAACAGGCCCCGUCAAUGUAGUGCUGUUCUAAUGUGUGCCCAAAACUACGUGAUGGCUGCUGGGAGAAUGUUGAGAGCUUUGCUAUGGGAGUUAGGAACAUUCCAGUUCCUAUCCCAGGAUGCAUUUGCUCCCGAGGUCUCCUUAGCAACGUCAAGGGGAGAUUUCAGACGUUUGGUCAGUGUUCUAAGAGAGAUGUAAUGAGGAAGAUAAACAGUUCCUAUUGAUAGACAUAAUCAAUUCUAGUUCCCAAGCCUGCACCCCAUAUGGAGUAGUGAGACAGUGUUUGACUCACGAAGACUAUUUUGGUUGGAGUUCUACGUAUACUCUAGGGCCAGGAUGAAGUUAGGGAGCUGGGAAAGCAUUCAUGGCAAAGGACCAAGGUCACUCUAGGACAGUCAUGGAGGUUAUGACUCAAGAUGGCUGCAAUCACGUUCAGCUGAAUCUACAUACUAAGGAAGAAAAAGGCUUUUUCUUCUGGUAUUUUAUUAUGGCAACAAGGAACAUAACCAGCACAGCAUUCAUCCAGCACUGUGCUCUAGAGCAGACAUACAGAAAGACCGUUUAUAGGCAGCCAUGACGGUUUAUCUUCAUUGUCGACAUGACUGGAUUUAGAGUCACCUAGGAGAUUGGUGAAGCAUACUCCUGAAUGUGCCCCGGAGGGUGUUUCCAGAGAGAGUUAACUGAGGCGGGAAGACCCACCCUGAAUGUGGGCAGUUCUAUCCCUGGGGCUGGUGCCUGGACUGAAUGAAAGAAGAAAUGGAGGCAGCCAGCAGAGCUGGAUUUCUGUCUCUUCUUCCUACCUAGUGACUUGAUGUGAUGCUCUGUGCGAUGAGAACAUCACAGCACAAUGAACUCAGUAUAGCUGUGAGAAAUAAACCCUCCUUUAAGCUGUCCCCGUUGGCGGCAUUUGAUCACAGUGAAGUAAGGACUAAAUAAAGGUCAU
RNAcentral lists this long non-coding RNA (1068 nucleotides) under Rattus norvegicus (Norway rat). RNAcentral describes it as "long non-coding RNA NONRATT032291". The record is from RNAcentral. Lineage: Eukaryota; Metazoa; Chordata; Mammalia; Rodentia; Muridae.